CUCAGUCAGAGGUCUGAACUGGUCUCUCCAUCCUUUCACAAAGUGGCCACUCUGACUAGUCCACAUACAAAUUCUUGAACUUUGCUAAUGGAAGAAGUGGAAAUCUACUCCUGAGGAAAAUACUGUGCUGAAGCACGCUGGAGGGGGAACUGCAGGGGCAGCAUGUACUGUUGGGAUCUUCUCACUGCUGCCAGAACCAAUGCUAGAUGGCUGCUACCAGGAUGUCUGGGGACCCUGAGGUACAGAUUGGACUUGCCAGGAACUGUAAGUGCUGUUUCGGCCAAGCCUGCUCAGAGUGAUAUGCUGCCAGGCAAGCAUGUGAGCUAUUCAUGGCUACAACAACAAGAUGGAUAAGCCCACUAUUAUUGUCUGUACAGAAAGUGAAGGGCAAGGAAUGUCUACUUGCAGAAGAAAAUGCGGGAAUGUUGUUGGAUUUUUUUCCCCAAGUUGGAUUCAGUGCAUAUCGUUUGGCUAAAGCUCAAUACAGACUAUGCAGAAAGCUGCUGUAUUCAUCCACUACCUUGCUGGAGCCUGGAUUUUCAUAGCAGCCUGCUGCCAGCACUGCUGAGGAGCAGGAUAUUUACUCAGUAUAUUACUUUUAUGCUUGU
Molecule: long non-coding RNA, 608 nt
Filed under: Manacus vitellinus (golden-collared manakin)
Lineage: Eukaryota; Metazoa; Chordata; Aves; Passeriformes; Pipridae
Description: lncRNA (ENSMVIG00005015062.1)
Source: RNAcentral